CGGCCCCUGCGAUGCGCGUGAUGGUUUGUGAGAUUUGAGUCAACACUUAUGAAUCGGGAGCCUGAGUCCGGACGUCAUGAGUUUCUCCGGGAUCGGUGAAACCUGAGGCCGACGGCAGGGCACCCACCUGUUUUCAACAGGUUCAAUCUCACGUUCCACACGGCAGAGCGGGGGUGAU
RNAcentral lists this non-coding RNA (178 nucleotides) under Acidobacteriota bacterium. RNAcentral's name for it is "6S RNA". It matches the Rfam family "6S / SsrS RNA". From Rfam's summary of the family: E. coli 6S RNA was the first non coding RNA to be sequenced, but its function was unknown until recently. Lineage: Bacteria; Pseudomonadati; Acidobacteriota. The record is from RNAcentral.